RNAcentral lists this long non-coding RNA (5579 nucleotides) under Cricetulus griseus (Chinese hamster). RNAcentral's name for it is "lncRNA (ENSCGRG00015029072.1)". The record is from RNAcentral. Lineage: Eukaryota; Metazoa; Chordata; Mammalia; Rodentia; Cricetidae.
UUUUUAAGCGAAAGAGAAACAGGAAGGGUCCUCUUUUCCCCUCAGCUCCUGCUCCAGCGGCACAAUGUGAUCCACCAGCUAGGAGGGACGCCAAUAAGGCGUCCGAUAAGAUAAGUCUUAUAAAAUAUAUAGAUGUAUGAUAAUUGAGACUGAGCUAACAGAUGAGAAUCCUAGUCAUUGGCCAAGCAGCAAUGUAACUAAUACAAGUCUGUGUAUUCAUUUGGGCCUAACUCAGGCGGGCGGCUGGCAUAAAGCUCACACGUGGCAGUGGGGCUCAGGCGGCAUUUGGCGGAAAGAUUUAUCAUAACAUCUAUGUACCUACUUAUCUAUCAUCGCUAUAUAUAUAUAUCAUCUAUAUCAUCUAUCUAUCUACCUAUCUAUGUCUAUCUAUCUAUCCAUGUCUAUCUAUCUAUCUAUCUAUCUAUCUAUCUAUCUAUCUAUCUGCUUUUGAGAUGUAGAAGAGAGGGGAGAAGAGAAAAGCACAAGAGAGCUGCUUGGGGACCAAACCAGGAGAUGGCCACCAUUGUGUCAUCUGCAAGCGUGGGGCAUCGUGUGAUCUCCUCUACAGUGCAUUGCAAACCCUUUAGGGGCUACCCUUUGUCUGCUCCCUGUGAAACACCCCCGCCCCAGCCUGCUGUCUAUCAGGUAGAAUUUCCUGCACACUGGAUCCAACAUUCAGAGAGGUGGAAAGGCCACAUAUUUUAAUUAUCCUCUGUUAAGCAAUUUCCCUCCCUAUCAAGUCCAUUUUAUGCAUGCUGCUCACGGGUUUCAGUAGUCAUAAUGACUCUUUUGUUUUUCAGGAGGGAAUGUCAAAAUUAAGAGAACUGUAAAACCAUUCACCACCCAUUAUUUUUAUAAUUAGUAGGGGAUGGGCUGAGGGCAAGAUCAAGCCUCCAUAUUUUAGCAUCUUUUCUUUGGAUUUUUUUUUUUUUUUUCAGAUGACAAGGCUGCAUCGAGUCUCAUCUGACAAGCUAUUGUCAGGCAGAUGUCUUCAUUAAGUCUGUGUAGGAAGACGAGCACAUCAAAGGGAAGAAGCCAGCAUUUUCCUUCUGGAACUCUGCAUAGGAAUCAUAUAUUUUGGAAGAUGAUCUGUGUCUAAGAUGAACUAAAAGUGAGUCCUUUGGACAUUUAAUAUUCCUCUUCCCAGCUGGAGGAUUGAAAUAGCCUCCCCUCUCUCGUGUCUAAGUUGGCUACUUUCAUGUUUCUAAAAGCUUGUCAAGUGCCUCUUCUCGGGAUUUAUUCCCGGUUUUGAUUCUUUGGUGCUUUUCAAGUUACCUCAUAUCCUUGCACGGGUCGCAUUCUAAUUUCUCUUUAAGUAGCAAAGCACUUCAGCAGUCCCUGAGGCAGAGACUCUUACCUCAGCAGGCCAGAGAAAGUAGAGCCCAGGAUCGACCAACAGAGCAGACCCUGGAGACCAAACCAGAGACGCAGCGGUCUGUCAAAUUCUUGGUCUGUUAAUUGACUUCAAUAUUCUGAUAACUAGGUUUGCUUGCUAUCUUGAUUAUUUAUUUAUUUUACUUUCUCCUUCCAACUUUCUGUGUAGAUAAGGGUGACCUUGAACUCCUGCCUCCCCUGUACCUCUCAAGGUUUUCAUCACCUUGUGUGACAAGACCCAGAGUUUAGUUUUUGGUCCUGGGGAUCAAACCCAGGGCCUCACAGAUGCUGGAAAAAAAUAUGUCACAGCCUUCCCUUUUAAAAAUAAAAUUCAGUUUAUCUUUAUUACGUAUAUGUAUGUGGGUCUCUGUGUGGGUGUUUGAAUGGCAGUGCAGGGGGUGGGGAGGCAUCACAUCCCUUGGAACUGGAGUUACAGGUGGUUAUGAGCUGCCCCAUGUGGAUGCCAGGACUUGAACUCAGGUCCUCCAAAGAGCAGUAUGUGUUUCUAACCUGUGAGCCAUCUUCUCUCCAGCCUCAGCCCUCACAUGGUUGACAACAAACGUCACAGGAUGGAAUGAUGCCAUAAUAAUUAUAACGCAUAUGGCCAGCGUAACAGCAACAACUACAAAAUGUAUCACGUGACCAGAGUUAGGAAAGUAGAGCUUGCUCUUGCCAUCUCACCUGGUACUUCUCCCUCACCCAUCUAGUGCCCUUUCCCUCUCUUGUGCUAGAGACAGAACCGGGAACUUACACAAGCCGGCAAAUGCUCUCAGACACACAAACAAAACAAAAUAAAGGAGCCAGCGAGAGGAGGCCCAGCAUUUUAGUCUCCCUGACCCCUGAUUGUGGAUACAAAGUGACUAGCAGUCUUCCUCUUGUGAAAAGUGGGGCUGUGCCUCACCCUCCAAAUCCCCAACUCACCCAAGGUCCCUGUGAUGACUGUCAUUGGUCUUAAACCCUGAGCCAAAGUAAACCUCUCCAUCUCUGGUUGAUGUUGUCUCUUAUUUUGUCAGAGCUACAAGAGGAAGUACCUAAUUGCAAAAUUUGCUACAUUUUAUUCUUUUGAUUGGCAACCGUUUUUCUGGGAAGGUUCUCUAUUAUACGGAGAACUACAUAGACUUUCAAUUAAUUACCAUGCUUCACUCAGAAAUCUAGAAUCUAUUGGUGGUGACGGCUGUCCCAGUUAUGAUUCCUACCGUAUGGAAGCUUUCCUCCCCCCUGCCUUCUCCCCUCUCUUCCUUUCUCCCCUUCUCUCUUCCUCAUACGCUUUCUAUCUUAAUAUGAAGUCAUGUGUUAUUUCUUUCAGUGUGUUUGCAGUUAAUACUUUUUUUCUUCUGAGCAUAUUCCCACAUUUGGCCACAUAAUACCUUCUCAAGCUGGCUUCUGUGUUCCUUUGAUCACCAUGUUGUUUUGAACCACUUUCUGACUCUCUGCAUCAGUAAGAUAUUCCAGGUUCUACCCUUUCUAACUUCUGGUUGGAGUGGGCCAUUGCCCAAGAGCGUGGGAUACUACGUUCAGAGGCUUAAACUUUGAUGGGUUCUCAUUGCUACUGGGUGGAUUACGUCUAGUAGUUCCCAGGGUGUGCACACACAUUCAUCCCUUCCUUGUUUCUUCAUCUCUCUUGCUCAUUCACAAUAAAUACCAAAAACCUCAUAGUCAAUAUUUAACCACCGUCCAUUGUCUUCAGAAUGAAGGCAUGGUGACAAAAAUAUCUUGUUCAUAAAUUACUUGGGUCACCUCUUUCCUCCUUUACACCCUCUGGUGUGCUUAUAUUAUCCUUUUGAAAUGGAGUAAGGUUCAUUUGUUUUAGUUUGAGUUCCCUUUACGGGAUAAAAUAUAUUCAUUGUUAUUUUAUGACUGUUAAAACACUGCUGCGGUUCAGAAGUCAAAGUGAUAAAAGUGACAGAAAAUAACACUGCUCCCAACUUCUUCAUCUCAUUUCUACCUCAAAAGGAUUUUUCAAAAGUUUAAAGUGAGCAGGCUCCCUUUUGUUUCAAACUCUGUAAUUACUUCCUUCCCCGAUCCUGGCGUGAUCUGACCUGCCUAAUUUCUAGUUUCCUCCUGUGCAGGGCCCCUCCUGCUCCCUCUUCCAACCAGAUGCAUUUCCUUAGUGCUUUGAAGAGCUGUGCUUCUUGCUUUCUAAGACAACCUCACACACUCUACCCCAAUCUGAGUUCAUUUUCUUUGGCUGUAACAAAACCCUUGAGACUGGAUACUGUGUAACAAAUGGAGCUGUUGCUGUGUGUGUGUGUGUGUGUGUGUGUGUGUGUGUGUGACAGAGUGAGGUUUUCAUCCCACAGUGGAGACAGAGUCUACAUAGUGUGGUCAUUUCAUGAACAAAAUAACAAGAAAAAGCUGGAAAAAGGGCUUAGUGGUUGAGAGCACUUAGCGCUCUAACAGAGGACCAAUGAUGGGGUGUCAGUACAAACAUCAGGAGGCUCAGAGCCACCCCUAUAUCCAGCUAGCUCCGAGGAAUCUGAUGCCUUCUUCUGGCCUCUGAUAACACUGCACAUACAUGCACAUUCACUCACGCAGACACACAUACACAGCAUUAUUAAAAAUAAUAAACACAAAUAAAUAAGCCCAGAGCUGGGCAUGGUGGUUUCCUCAUCGCUGUAACUAUUUCGGAGUCUGAUGUGGAAUUCCUUUACACUGCGUGGAUAUGCGUUGCUGUGAUUGGUUUAAUGACGAAGCUGACUGGCUGACAGCGGGAACGGAGAAAGCGAGGCGGGAAGAAGCAGGGCAGAGUCUGGAGUCCUGAGAGAUGCAGAGAGGAGCAGGAUGGGCAUGCCAUAUUGACAAAAGAACUGCUUUUAGGAGGUGUGCACUGCCUGCUUGGCACUGUGACACGGAAGUGUGAGACCAAAACCCCUGCUGUAAUCUCAGCAUGUUCCAAGGCUCCAGACAACGAGAGGAGAUAAGGGUCCAGGAAGUAUGGAGUCAGAAGGUGGACUGUGGGACACUGUUCUAGGUUGCCAGCCGUGCAAGACGACAAGCUGAGCAUCCCUUGUCACUACCCUAUCCAGAUGGAUGCGCUCUCCCGUCCGGAGAACGCAAUGGGAAAUGCACUGCUUUCUUCCUCUUUUGGAUGAGAAUUGUGCUAAAUAUAAGUGGUCUAAUCCCCGUGUUUAUGCAUCACACACGUGAGGACUGUCCCUGAACAGGGGUGUGGACCUGGCAUACUUAGGCUUUCAAAGUAAACUCGAUUCAACUGGAACAGUAUUCAGAGUUGGACAUCGUGGUGAAUAUCUGGAAUCUCAGCCGCUGAGGAAGCAGAGGCAGGGGGAUUGCUUGAGCUCAGGAAUUUGGAUCAACCUAGGAAAUAUACCGAGAGCAUGUCUUAACAAAAAGAAGAGGAGCGAACAAACGGGGAUGGCAAAGCUUCAAUCAAUCAAUGGCCGUGCGCUCAUAUAGCAUCUCCAGAGCCUGGACUCCCUUCCCCGACCCCCUGCGUGCUGAAAGAAGGUGGAAACAGCGCUAGAGGAUUGGCAAGGUGGCUCUGCAGGUGAAGCUGCUUUUUCAGCGAGUUCAAUUCCCAGAACCCCUGUAGAGGAGGAAGGGGAGACUUGACUGCCAUAGCAUGUGUGGUCCCCCCAAAUCAGGUGUCCUUGCACAAAAAACAAAACACAAAUUAAAAACGUAGCAGUAUAGAGAGGAAAGAGCACCCAUGACAAAAUUCCCACAGCGCUUUCUGUACUGUAUGCACUGUGAUUUGAUUACACAUUCAUACAUCUCAGUGCAGUGGGACAAAGAAUUAAGACAAUAAUUGAAUUCUUAAUUUUGUGUUUUUUCUUUGAGUAUAAAGAAAAAAAAGGAAAUUUAUUAGAGGGGGAUUUAAAACCAUUGCUGGAGCAUCAUACAAUUUUCUGUAUUAUGCGAUGUUUAAUAUGCUUAUUGGAUUCUUUCUUUUGUUUUUUUGUUUUUGUUUUUGUUUUUUAAGACAGGUUCUCACUUUGUAGCCCUGACUGGUGGUCUGGAACUCACAGAAAUGUGUUUGUCUGUGCUGGGAUUAAAGGUCACCAGCCCUGGCGGUUUUGCGAUUCUUAGAUUGUAUUUUAUUGUAAUUUGUUUUUUCCAAACACAUAAUGCUCUUUGAUCCUGAUUUUGUAUUUGUGACUUUGCAUUCUUUUUUUUUAAACAGUGGUUCUCUCUCUCUCUCUCUCUCUCUCUCUCUCUCUCUCUCUCUCUCUCUGUGUGUGUGUGUG